Molecule: ribosomal RNA, 253 nt
Filed under: uncultured bacterium
Lineage: Bacteria
Description: partial 16S ribosomal RNA
Rfam family: Bacterial small subunit ribosomal RNA
Source: RNAcentral
UCCGUAGGGUGCGAUCGUUAAUCGGAAUUACUGGGCGUAAAGCGUGCGCAGGCGGUUUUGUAAGACAGAGGUGAAAUCCCCGGGCUUAACCUGGGAACUGCCUUUGUGACUGCAAGGCUUGAGUGCGGCAGAGGGGGAUGGAAUUCCGCGUGUAGCAGUGAAAUGCGUAGAUAUGCGGAGGAACACCGAUGGCGAAGGCAAUCCCCUGGGCCUGCACUGACGCUCAUGCACGAAAGCGUGGGGAGAAAACAGG